GUGCCAAGCAGCCGCGGUAAUUCCAGCUCCAAUAGCGUAUAUUAAAGUUGUUGCCGUUAAAAAGCUCGUAGUCGAACUUCGGCGCCUGAUGGCCGGUCCGCCUUCUUGGUGUGUACUUGCUCAUCGGGCGCUUACCUCCUGGUGAACUCUGAUGUCCUUUACUGGGUGUCAGAGCAAACCAGGACGUUUACUUUGAAAAAAUUAGAGUGUUCAAAGCAGGCCUACGCCCGAAUACAUUAGCAUGGAAUAAUAGAAUAGGACGCGCGUUCCCAUUUUGUUGGUUUCUGAGAUCGCCGUAAUGAUUAAUAGGGAUAGUUGGGGGCAUUUGUAUUCCGUCGUCAGAGGUGAAAUUCUUGGAUUGCCGGAAGACAAACUACUGCGAAAGCAUUUGCCAAGGAUGUUUUCAUUGAUCAAGAACGAAGGAAGGGGGAUCGAAAACGAUCAGAUACCGUUGUAGUCUCUUCUGUAAACUAUGCCAAUUGGGGAUUAGCACAGGAUUUUCAAUGACUGUGUUAGCACCCGAAGAGAAAUCUUUAAAUGAGGUUCGGGGGGGAGUAUGGUCGCAAGGCUGAAACUUAAAGGAAUUGACGGAAGGGCACCACCAGGUGUGGAGCCUGCGGCUUAAUUUGACUCAACACGGGGAAACUCACCAGGUCCAGACACAAUAAGGAUUGACAGAUUGAUAGCUCUUUCUUGAUCUUGUGGUUGGUGGUGCAUGGCCGUUCUUAGUUGGUGGAGUGAUUUGUCUGGUUAAUUCCGAUAACGAACGAGACCUUAACCUGUUAAAUAGACCAGUCGACUUUGGUUGACUGCUGUCUUCUUAGAGGGACUAUCAGCGUUUAGCUGAUGGAAGUUUGAGGCAAUAACAGGUCUGUGAUGCCCAAGGGCGAAUUCCGCGGCGCUAAAUU
Molecule: ribosomal RNA, 908 nt
Filed under: uncultured Sporidiobolales
Lineage: Eukaryota; Fungi; Basidiomycota; Microbotryomycetes; Sporidiobolales
Description: SSU rRNA
Rfam family: Eukaryotic small subunit ribosomal RNA
Source: RNAcentral